RNAcentral lists this long non-coding RNA (276 nucleotides) under Mytilus galloprovincialis (Mediterranean mussel). Lineage: Eukaryota; Metazoa; Mollusca; Bivalvia; Mytilida; Mytilidae. The record is from RNAcentral.
CGCAUACUCAGCUUCAAAAGGCCCGAAAUGACAAUGUAAAACAAUGCAAACGAGAAAACUAGCGGCCUUAUUUAUGUACAAAAAUGAACGAAAAACAAAUAUAUAACACAUAAACAAACGACAACCACUGAAUUACAGGCUCCUUACUUAAAUAAAUGUUCAUAACAUACUAAAUGUAUGUUCAUAUUGAAAUUGAUAGAAAACCAAAAAUUGGGAACUUUGGAAAUAAAGGUGGAGGGUAAAAAAACAUUUUCCUGUCCCCAAUAACCUAUGACU